RNAcentral lists this ribosomal RNA (254 nucleotides) under uncultured bacterium. RNAcentral's name for it is "partial 16S ribosomal RNA". It matches the Rfam family "Bacterial small subunit ribosomal RNA", at positions 524 to 776 of the family's 1533-position model. The record is from RNAcentral.
CACGUAGGGGGCAAGCGUUGUCCGGAUUUAUUGGGCGUAAAGAGCUCGUAGGCGGCUUAGUAAGUCGGGUGUGAAACCUCCAGGCUCAACCUGGAGACGCCACCCGAUACUGCUGUGGCUAGAGUCCGGUAGGGGAGCGUGGAAUUCCUGGUGUAGCGGUGAAAUGCGCAGAUAUCAGGAGGAACACCAGCGGCGAAGGCGGGUCUCUGGGCCGAAACUGACGCUGAGGAGCGAAAGCGUGGGGCGCAAACAGG